Molecule: ribosomal RNA, 253 nt
Filed under: uncultured bacterium
Lineage: Bacteria
Description: partial 16S ribosomal RNA
Rfam family: Bacterial small subunit ribosomal RNA
Source: RNAcentral
UACGGGGGGGGCAAGCGUUGUUCGGAAUUACUGGGCGUAAAGGGCUUGUAGGUGGCCAACUAAGUCAGACGUGAAAUCCCUCGGCUUAACCGGGGAACUGCGUCUGAUACUGGAUGGCUGGAGUGUGGGAGAGGGAUGCGGAAUUCCAGGUGUAGCUGUGAAAUGCGUAGAUAUCUGGAGGAACACCGGUGGCGAAGGCGGCAUCCUGGACCAUUACUGACACUGAAAAGCGAAAGCCAGGGGAGCAAACGGG